Molecule: ribosomal RNA, 429 nt
Filed under: Chloroflexota bacterium
Lineage: Bacteria; Bacillati; Chloroflexota
Description: Chloroflexi bacterium partial 16S ribosomal RNA
Rfam family: Bacterial small subunit ribosomal RNA
Source: RNAcentral
UGGGGAUUAUUGCACAAUGGGCGCAAGCCUGAUGCAGCCAUGCCGCGUGUAUGAAGAAGGCCUUCGGGUUGUAAAGUACUUUCAGCGGGGAGGAAGGGAGUAAAGUUAAUACCUUUGCUCAUUGACGUUACCCGCAGAAGAAGCACCGGCUAACUCCGUGCCAGCAGCCGCGGUAAUACGGAGGGUGCAAGCGUUAAUCGGAAUUACUGGGCGUAAAGCGCACGCAGGCGGUUUGUUAAGUCAGAUGUGAAAUCCCCGGGCUCAACCUGGGAACUGCAUCUGAUACUGGCAAGCUUGAGUCUCGUAGAGGGGGGUAGAAUUCCAGGUGUAGCGGUGAAAUGCGUAGAGAUCUGGAGGAAUCCCGGUGGCGAAGGCGGCCCCCUGGACGAAGACUGACGCUCAGGUGCGAAAGCGUGGGGAGCAAACAGG